GGGUAGGUAGCGAAGUGGUUAAACGCAACAGACUGUAAAUCUGUCGGCUCAUGCCUUCGGAGGUUCGAAUCCUUCCCUACCCA
RNAcentral lists this transfer RNA (83 nucleotides) under Ignavibacteria bacterium. RNAcentral describes it as "tRNA-Tyr". It matches the Rfam family "tRNA". From Rfam's summary of the family: Transfer RNA (tRNA) molecules are approximately 80 nucleotides in length. Their secondary structure includes four short double-helical elements and three loops (D, anti-codon, and T loops). Further hydrogen bonds mediate the characteristic L-shaped molecular structure. tRNAs have two regions of fundamental functional importance: the anti-codon, which is responsible for specific mRNA codon recognition, and the 3' end, to which the tRNAs corresponding amino acid is attached (by aminoacyl-tRNA synthetases). tRNAs cope with the degeneracy of the genetic code in two manners: having more than one tRNA (with a specific anti-codon) for a particular amino acid; and 'wobble' base-pairing, i.e. permitting non-standard base-pairing at the 3rd anti-codon position. Lineage: Bacteria; Pseudomonadati; Ignavibacteriota; Ignavibacteria. The record is from RNAcentral.